RNAcentral lists this unclassified non-coding RNA (379 nucleotides) under uncultured Eubacteriales bacterium. Its description in RNAcentral is "contains 16S-23S intergenic spacer region". The record is from RNAcentral. Lineage: Bacteria; Bacillati; Bacillota; Clostridia; Eubacteriales.
UCCGAGUUAUCCCCGGCAGUCUCAUUAGAGUGCUCAACUUAAUGUUAGCAACUAAUGACAAGGGUUGCGCUCGUUGCGGGACUUAACCCAACAUCUCACGACACGAGCUGACGACAACCAUGCACCACCUGUCUCAAAGUUCCCCGAAAGGCACUCCUCAAUCUCUUGUGGAUUCUUUGGAUGUCAAGUCCUGGUAAGGUUCUUCGCGUUGCUUCGAAUUAAACCACAUGCUCCGCUGCUUGUGCGGGCCCCCGUCAAUUCCUUUGAGUUUUAGUCUUGCGACCGUACUCCCCAGGCGGAGUGCUUAUUGCGUUUACUGCGGCACAGAGGAUGUCGAAAUCCCCUACACCUAGCACUCAUCGUUUACAGCGUGGACUAC